UUUCCCUCAGGGCAAUGUUGCUGAGAUCCAUCCAUGUUGUUAUUAUCCAAAUGUGUUUUGGACAAAAUGAGAGGAUCCAAGAUUGAAUUAUGCAGUAACCUGGUUCCACUCCCUCCCCCAGGGGUUUCUGGAAGAACCAUAGGCAGAUGCAGAUGAAGAAAGGGAGGCACAGGGAGCCGCCGGUCCAGGAGCCCAUCGCUAGGACGGGCCACAGCUGGGACUCUGCCACCCGUGGGGCCGCACCUGCCUCUCAGCUCUCGCAGGGGCGGGCGGCGCAGCUCUGAGAAACUCCAUGCAUGCCUGUCAGGUGCCCACUUCCACCGUGGAAGCGUCCAGCAAAAAUGAGUCAACAGCUAAGGAAAUCUUGAGAGCACAAAGGGCCUCUCAUUAA
Molecule: long non-coding RNA, 391 nt
Organism: Eptesicus fuscus (big brown bat)
Lineage: Eukaryota; Metazoa; Chordata; Mammalia; Chiroptera; Vespertilionidae
Exons: 3
Source: RefSeq, a predicted model, not a curated record